Molecule: microRNA precursor, 76 nt
Filed under: Myotis lucifugus (little brown bat)
Lineage: Eukaryota; Metazoa; Chordata; Mammalia; Chiroptera; Vespertilionidae
Description: mir-9229 microRNA precursor family
Rfam family: mir-9229 microRNA precursor family
Source: Rfam by way of RNAcentral
GAGACACCCCUGUGGAGCAGGACUUGCUUCAGUGGGGCUUUGGUGCUCACUGAGUCUGCCCCUUGAAUGUGUCACU